GUUAGAACAAAGGUGGCUCUACUGGUCUGAGGAAGCCAGUCCAGCACUUUGGCUGCUUGGGGCACCACGGUGGCACCUUGCCAAGGAACAUUCCAGCAACCCGCAAAAGCCAGCACGCGUGGUUGGGCAUUUAGCUCAGUCAGCCCAGGGCAGUCAGAAGAUGGCUUCUGUAGGAAAGAGGAGGUGUUCUGUGCAGAGCAGAUCCCAAAGCACGCUACCCACGAGGCGGAGAGCGCUGCUUAGAACAGCAAAGCCAACGCCCGCAAAUGCACAUAAUAGAAGACUCAGCCACACGGCCUGUCCAGCUCAAGCACAUGUGCCUCUUCUAACCACCUUCAACAAGGUUUCACUGAGUUGCUGAGACUGGCUUUGAACUUGGGAUCCUCCUGCCUCAGCCUCCUGAUCUUCUGGGAUUACAGGCGUGCGCCACUGCACCCGGCAUGAACAUGCUUUUUGGUUCUCAUCUUGGGUUUUUAACCGGGUGCCAUCCCAUAGGUCAGUAUAGCAGUAUGUGCACCACCAGGACCACUACAUCCCAUUGGGCAAGAGGGGCCCUGCUCUCACCGUACGCAGGGACAGAUAUUUCCACUGGGUCGCUGAAAGGCCCGACUCCCCCUUUAGUGAUGGCUGCGAUCCUCACGGUGCAGGUGGCGUUGUGGACUUGAACAGGGAUCUGAGCCUGGCUGCCAUUCUGGCCGACUUCUUCAGAGAGCUCCUUCUGGGGAUAGAGAAAAAAAAGGAAAUGAAAUUGGAGGCACCAGCUGCACGGGGUUCCUUCUGUGGGAGGCCAUCCCACCCAUGUCCCGGGGACAGUGGCCACAUCUCCACUCCACAGCAUUCCUUCCCCACUCAGGACACAGUGGUGGAGUGAACCCAAACACAGGCAGGGACGUGGGGUGGGGCUGGCAGCAACACCAGGCUUUGCAAACUAGGAUCAGGAGGGUGAGGCACUUAAGGUGGUCCUUAAAGAAGCUUCCAGAAAGGACAAAGCAUGUAGCACUAUCUUCAGAAGGCAAGAGCAAGGUGAAGUCCUUGAGACCCCCCUGCAGGAUCCCCCAUAGCACAAUUCAGAGUCACGCCAUCCCUUGACACUGCAAACCUAGUAACUGCCCAAGCAGGGUCCAGAGUUUUGAAAUUUUAAGAAUAUGGACUAAAAUCUAUGUACAAGAGGAUACGAUACCAAUGCUACUCUUCUUUGCUCUCAGUGUGACAAAUACACAAUUGGUUUAAUCUUCAAAA
Long non-coding RNA from Marmota monax (woodchuck), 1239 nucleotides. RefSeq lists it as uncharacterized. The record is from RefSeq and is a predicted model, not a curated record. Lineage: Eukaryota; Metazoa; Chordata; Mammalia; Rodentia; Sciuridae. The transcript has 2 exons.